GGGGAAUAUUGCACAAUGGGCGCAAGCCUGAUGCAGCCAUGCCGCGUGUAUGAAGAAGGCCUUCGGGUUGUAAAGUACUUUCAGCGGGGAGGGAGGUGUUGUGGUUAAUAACCACAGCAAUUGACGAUACCCGCAGAAGAAGCACCGGCUAACCCCGUGCCAGCAGCCGCGGUAAUACGGAGGGUGCAAGCGUUAAUCGGAAUUACUGGGCGUAAAGCGUGCGUAGGGGGCUUUUUAAGUCGGAUGUGAAAUCCCCGAGCUUAACUUGGGAAUUGCAUUCGAUACUGGGAAGCUAGAGUAUGGGAGAGGAUGGUAGAAUUCCAGGUGUAGCGGUGAAAUGCGUAGAGAUCUGGAGGAAUACCGAUGGCGAAGGCAGCCAUCUGGCCUAAUACUGACGCUGAGGUACGAAAGCAUGGGGAGCAAACA
This 426-nucleotide ribosomal RNA is filed under the name uncultured Gammaproteobacteria bacterium. RNAcentral describes it as "bacterial SSU rRNA". It matches the Rfam family "Bacterial small subunit ribosomal RNA", at positions 356 to 774 of the family's 1533-position model. The record is from RNAcentral. Lineage: Bacteria; Pseudomonadati; Pseudomonadota; Gammaproteobacteria.